Molecule: long non-coding RNA, 421 nt
Filed under: Gossypium raimondii (Peruvian cotton)
Lineage: Eukaryota; Viridiplantae; Streptophyta; Magnoliopsida; Malvales; Malvaceae
Description: long non-coding RNA (GRAI_LNC006663)
Source: RNAcentral
UUAUCUGAAGACACAAAAGAGUGAAAAUCCGAAAGCUCUUUUUUGUAGUUGUAAUUAUAAUGCCAAAAAAUCAAGUCGGCACAGUCGUCUUUAUGUUGAUCGUUACAGGCCUCUUGAAUCUUCUAUUUACCUACUUAUUUCUUUUUCUUUGCUUUGAUUUGUUCUUUGUAUGAAAUGUGGCUUUAUUCUUGUUUUCUUUCUUUUUGAUAGGAAUUCUCUUAUUAAGACCCUAUGAAUCAAUUGAAACUUCAGAUUCAUACCAGAACCGCGAUGAUUCAAUAAAACCUUCAAACUAAGUCCAAAGAUUCUUUGAGUAAGAACCAUUGGAUCAUCACUUAUUCAAGCAACUACAGAAGGGUGACGAAGCUUCUUUGCAUGACGGGUAUAUAGAACGACUAUUCAACUACUAUUUUUUUCCCCG